Coffea eugenioides is the source of this 108-nucleotide small nucleolar RNA. RefSeq annotates it as small nucleolar RNA snoR97. The transcript has a single exon. Lineage: Eukaryota; Viridiplantae; Streptophyta; Magnoliopsida; Gentianales; Rubiaceae. The record is from RefSeq and is a predicted model, not a curated record.
AAUCUGUUGUGGGUUUAGGGUCUGAAAAACUCAGAGAAGUAUGUGUUGCCAUCAGCUUCUUUCUCUUGAAUGCUGACGAGAUUGGAGUUAAAUAACAACACUAAAUUU